Molecule: long non-coding RNA, 2483 nt
Filed under: Canis lupus familiaris (dog)
Lineage: Eukaryota; Metazoa; Chordata; Mammalia; Carnivora; Canidae
Description: lncRNA (ENSCAFG00000057840.1)
Source: RNAcentral
UUUUUAUUUUUUUAAUUUUUAUUUAAUGUGCAAUUCACAUUCAUGUUGUUGUGCAACUCUGUCACCACCCCAAAGGGAGGCUCUGUCCCCGUUCAACACUCCAUCCCCGGCCCCCAUCCUAGGCUCUGUCUCUGUGACCCUGAUGACUCUAGGAACCUAACCUCAAUGGAAUCCUACACCGCUUGUCCUCUGGUGACUGGCUGGCUCCUCCUCCAGGUCCGUCCGCGCUGCAGCAGGUGUCCUUCUUGUCUGAGGCUGCAUGAUAACCCACUGCAUGGACAGACCCUCAUCCGAUGAUGGACACCCGCCUUGCUUCCGUGUUCUAGCUCUUGUGAAUCACCGCUGUGAACACGCUGUGAACACGGGUGUGCAAACAUCAGCCCGGGUCCCUCAAGGGGGACACCUGCCCGCCUGCCUCUCUCAUUCAUUCCCAGUGGUGGGGAAAUUCCAAGUGGUUCGAAAGAGGUGACAAGUGGUUCGGCAAAAGAAUCACAAAGGCCCCGACUCUGCCUGGGGCCAUGGGGAAGAGCCCCCAAGGUGGGGGCGGCCCUUGGGAAGGCGAUGGGAAGGGGAGUAUGCAGGUGUCCCCUGGACACGGGCCUGGGGGAUCCACAUGGCAAGCGUGGAGCUCCUGGAAGCCCCACCUAAGAUCCUGGGUUUUGUCCUUUAUAUGAUGGAAUCAGGAGGGGGACGGGAACAGUCUCGCUUUUAUAAAUGUUGGUGGGAAUGGAAGUAUUUUUCCAGGAGAAAGUCCUAGAAGGCCUGAUACAGCAAAUUUAGAGGCUGUGUCACUCGGGCUGAGAGACUGGGGCAAGUGGGCAUCUCUCCCUCUCCCCCCUCCCCAUCCCCAGCUCCCAUUCCAUCUUCCUCCCUUCUCUCCCCCCACUCCCUGCAUGGUGGUCAAGCCCACUGACCCAGGACACAGUCUGGUCCCUCCGGGGACCUCACCGUGCAGAGCCAUCCCUACCCUGGGACAAAUGGGGCCCUCCCUCCCACCCCACCCCCCAUCCUGGAGUCCGGAGCCAAGUGGCCCCAGCUUCCCGACCUCAGGACCCCACCUCCCUGCACACCAGGAGGGAGGCCUGGGGGGAAGGGGAGAGGCCGUGAGGGAGGGGAGCCCCCGGCGUCCCCAGGGAGUACUGCUAACCCACAGCACAUAAUCCUGUUAAAAUAUUAAUCCUCAUUUAGCUGGAGGCGAGGUGGCCGCUGAGAUAAAGCUCCUGAGUGGUAAUAAAAGGCGCAGCAAUUGAUAAAGUGGAUCGUCGCACUAAUAAAAUCCCGCCAUCGUGAAGGUCGGGUCAGGCCCCUGUCAUCGAGAACCACCAGGCAGGUCCCAGCCGCCGGGCUGGCAGAGGUAGGGGGUGACCGCCUCCCCCGACAGCGACAGGAGGGCGCUCACCAUGGGGGGUCUGCUCGCAGCUCCAGCAGAGGGAGCAGAGGGGGGCUGACUCUCCUUGGGAAGGAACCCCCAGCCUUGGGCCACUGUCUCCUCCCCCAGGGACCCGACCUGGUCACAAAGAUGGUGGGGCCUCCUGGCGGCACACCUGCUGAGCCCAGGCCGGUCUGGCCUCUCACUGCCCCCCAGACACCGGUCCCAGGCUCAACGGCUCAGGCCUCCCCGGGACAUGAGGAUGAAGCAUCCAAUGCAGCCCCAGCGGGGUGCCCAGGGACCGCCUCCCAGAUGGCAUGGCCACACCCAGGGCCCUGUUUGGGAAAGGUCAUCUGCUCAAACUCUGUGUUCCCGUCCCUCCUGAAGGCAGCUUAACAACAUAAUCAGGCUGCUCUCCAUUCAGCGCCCCCCAAAGCCAAUAGUGCAUCAGCGACACCACUGCUUUCCUUCCCAAAGGGCAUGGACCAGGCAUCGAGGGAGACCGUUAGACCCACAUUUGCCACUUGUCACCGUGGAAAUGGAGAGGGCGGGCUCAGGACUUCCACACUCCCCCAGUAGAGGGGACAGCCCACAGCUGGAGCGCCCGCCCGUGUGCCCAGCCCCCCCACCAGGGCAUCUCCCUGGCAGGCAGCACCAGCCCAGGGGCUACAUGGGGCCGGGGGGUGGGGCAGAUGGGGAGACAAGGAUUCCUGGUUUGGAGAAACCACUCCAACUGCUGCAUAGAGACAAAGGAGAAGCCACGAGAUCUGUCAGAGUCCAGACGCUGCUCGUGCCACCCAUGCCUUCUUGCCUUCGUGCCUACUGUGUGCCAGGCACCACACCAGAUGGGGACAGAGCCUUGCUCAUGGCCAGAAACAAUGGCGCUGUCGCUUGUCACACCCAGCUCUUGGUCCCUAAUAUCCCCCGCCAACAAAAGGAACCAGGCCCCUUGAGAAACGAAUACACUAAGAGGAGCCUGGUGCGUCCUGGGGUCAAGGAACAAGGCGACAGGCAUGACAAAGGGAUCCAGGCGCCAACGGAGAGAGCUCCGGGUGGCCAGAGAUGGAGCAAUCAGAGCAACAAAAUCAAUCAGGUGGCAGUGGGUUACAUACUG